This is a long non-coding RNA of Strigops habroptila (Kakapo), 2344 nucleotides long. The record is from Ensembl. Lineage: Eukaryota; Metazoa; Chordata; Aves; Psittaciformes; Psittacidae.
GGCCGCCGUGCUACGUGCAGCCGCCGCCGGUCUUGGGUAGCCCGGGCCGAUGCAGGUGGGGGGAUGUCUCAGUGACAAGCCCAGGCCGCACCGGUAGAACCGCAGCUGGAGCGGCGCACGGAUAAAACCUCCUGUAGACGGACCCGUCCCAGCACAAGCCAUACCUGCAGUAACUUCUUGGCCAGCAUAGAUUGUUUCUGAAAUCAUCUGAACCAUGUGCCUUGGUCAUUAGAAGGAAAGACCACCAUUUAAUUACAGGAAAUGUAAUUCAGACAGACAACAUACUUUGUAGUAGAAAAAGAUAAUAUUUGGGUAUUCCAAACUGCCCAAGAGCCAAAGCAGGAGAACCUCAGAUGGCAAAGAUGGGAAGCGGAAGAAAAAAUGAGGCCUGUAGAAGACUUCUGUUCUGUUCUUUUCUGUUCUAUGAUCCUACUCUUUCUCCAUAAACCACAACUGUUCUAUCUCUAGUACAUUAUUCAUACUUGCUGGUCUUCCAUUAAUAGAUUAGUUCAGCUGGAAAGGACCUACAACAAUCAUUUAGUCCAACUGCCAGAGAAAUUUAGGACUGACCAAAAGUUAUGCACCUAACUUUUACACAUUUUACUCAAGCGCGUUUUACUCAAGUUAUUGUCCAAAUGCCUCUUAAACACCAACAGCAUGGGGCAUUGACCACUCCCUAUUAAGCCUGUUCCAGUGUUUGACCACCCCGUUGGUAAAGAAAUGUUACUUAAUAUAUAGUCUGAGCCUCCCUUGAUGCCACUUCAAACCAUCCUGAUGCAUCCUGCUACUGGAUACCAGGGAGAAGAGAUCAGCACAGAUUUCAUGCUGUACAUGCUAUGUCUUCCCACUGUCUUGUCUCCACUAAUAUUCUGACCUGAUUUAUUUACUAAAACCCCCACACCCAACCCCAACAUAGCCAACAUUAAUUGGAUUAGAAUCUGAUUGUCACAUUAAAAAAAUCGCUGAGCAAACACAGCCUUUUAACAGUGCAGUCACAGUUAGCAAAGUUCCUAGAUAAACUGUUCUCUAUGCAGUAAUGAAUGUAUUACAAAUUGUGAUCCAUUAAACAAAGCAAGUACAAAAACAGUGUCAGUAAGAGUUGCAGAUAACUGAAAAAGUAUAGUAAGUAAAAAAUGACAGGAAGAAAUCAGUUAUGCAUCAUUUCAAGGAGCAACUGUAGAGUAUGUAUUUUAUUUAUUACAUCAAGGCAAUUUUAAGUGUGCAACAGGGCACCUAAUCACUCUACAGUAAAUGAAAGGUGUCUCUUUACAUUGAAGUUACCAUGAAAUACUAGUUGCAGUGCAGUAAUAAUACACAAAAACAUCAACUGGGAAUACUGCACAGUGGACACAAAUAGGUCCAGGAAUUUCCUGAAGCACGUGGAAGAUAACUUUGUCCGGGUACUACAGGAGUUGACUACGAAAUAUACCCUCCUAAAAAACCAAAACAAAAAAAAACCAAAUAAACAAACAAACAAAAAAAAAAAAACCACCAAAAAACCAAAAUCAGUAUUUUUAAUUAUAAAAGAAUAUAAAAGUACAGUGAAGAGAUCCAAGUUUAUCACACAGUUUUGAUUUUAUGAGGCAAGGUUUUGGCAGUGGAAGAACUGCACGGGUGGAUGAGACCAGGGGCUGCACCAGUGAAGCUGGUGGUGCCUCUGUGAAAAAUGUAAUUAAGAAAGGAUAAAAAAUGCUGCCCAGUGACUGUGAAAGAGAAAAAAACAUGGAAACAAUGAUCCUGCAGCCACCAAAGUCAACGAAGAAGGAGCAGAAGGAGGUACUCCAAGCACUGAAGCAGAUGUGCCCCUGCCACUCAUAGAGGACCAUGUUGGAGCAGAGGAAAGAUUCCACACUUCAGCGCAUGGAGGACACUAUGCUGCAGCAGGUGGAGAUGCUCUGAAGGAAGCUGCAGCCCUUAGAGGGCCCACAUCAGUGCUGCAGCCUGUGGAGAGGGGCCCACACCAGAGAAGGUUUUCUGGAAGGAACUGUGGCCUGUGGGAGACCCAUGCUGAAGCAGUCUGUUCCUGAAGGACUCUACUCCAAGAAUGACCCAAGUCGGAGCAGUUCACAAAGGACUGUAACAUCUGGGAGGGACCCCACGCUGGAGCAGAGGAACAUUGUGAGCAGGGAAGAGUGGCAGAGAGGAACUCUUACGGACCCGUCCACAACUCCCAUUUCCCCAUCCUCCCUAUGCCACUCAGAGUGGACAAGAGGGUGGACAAAUCAGGAAUAAAGGAAUGAAGUUGAACCUGGGAAGAAGGCUGGGAGUGGGACAGAAGGUAUUUUUAAGUUAUGUCACCAUCCUACUGUAUUUUAAAUCGGCAAUAAAUUAUUUAUUUCUCCAA